Entelurus aequoreus (snake pipefish) is the source of this 116-nucleotide small nuclear RNA. RefSeq annotates it as U5 spliceosomal RNA. The record is from RefSeq and is a predicted model, not a curated record. Lineage: Eukaryota; Metazoa; Chordata; Actinopteri; Syngnathiformes; Syngnathidae. The transcript has a single exon.
UGUCCUUUGAUGUUUCAGAUCGCAUAAAUCUUUCGCCUUUUACUAAAGAUUUCCGUGGGGAGGAAAAACAAGAGUAUAUUUAUGAUGUUUCCCUCUUACACACAUUUUUAUGUGUG